Molecule: long non-coding RNA, 88 nt
Organism: Rhodamnia argentea
Lineage: Eukaryota; Viridiplantae; Streptophyta; Magnoliopsida; Myrtales; Myrtaceae
Exons: 3
Source: RefSeq, a predicted model, not a curated record
UUCCGUUGCCGGGCAGAACAUGCUGACGACUCCCCAGAACUCUUAUCGAUAGAGUCGUUUGGCACCUCAAUGUCCACUCAUAACAUCC